AUGCCAUCAGACCUAAAAGUCUUUGAAUGAGUCGAGCAGGUUGAGAUGGGUGUUGUUGGACCUGGAGCACUAAGUCCCUGAUGCACUGGAAAUUUGUGGACCGAAGCUACACGUGUCUGCAUAGUGAGAUUGCUGCUUCCAACAAACGAGACUGACUCAGCCAAGUAUCUGGCCAUACUUCUGUUGUCAGAUAAAUUCUCAAGAAGAACUAGUCCAAUGAGGAGCAAGAGCCCAAGGACUGCAUGCAACGGCAAUUGGAAAAGAACUGAAGAAUAUGGUGCUCAGCCCACCUUUAAAUAGCAUGUGGACGGUAUGUAGGCAGGGCUUGGUUGCCUCAACGAGCUGCAGAAUGUUACUGAGGAACUACUGCUCAGGCACAUUACCCGUUCUUAUGGAUCUUGACAGAUCUUGAUCCAGAUUACAUUACUCUCCUCCUUGCUGCCUACCCAGAAAUUGAUGGGGGCACAAACUCUACUGUAUUCUAUCUCCCAGCUCAAAACAAUUUUAAUUUUUGAAUAUGUGUGUAUUUGCAUGAAACAGCAAUCCUAAGGAAAAACCAAAAUGGAGAACUGAGCUGCAAAUGGCCAAAAAGCCACAUGGAUGUGUAGCAACUUUGAUGAUUUUGGAGACUGCUGGGAAGGUAGAGAUGAAUCAGAGUAAUUUCUGGGGUUGGGUGGAGGGGCAGCUUUCCAUUUUGGGCAGCAGUGGCAUGUGCCUCCCCCAACACACACACACACACA
Long non-coding RNA from Hemicordylus capensis (graceful crag lizard), 740 nucleotides. RefSeq lists it as uncharacterized. The transcript has 3 exons. The record is from RefSeq and is a predicted model, not a curated record. NCBI's taxonomy places the organism in Eukaryota, Metazoa, Chordata, Lepidosauria, Squamata, Cordylidae.